RNAcentral lists this long non-coding RNA (14480 nucleotides) under Homo sapiens (human). RNAcentral describes it as "HSALNT0331499". Lineage: Eukaryota; Metazoa; Chordata; Mammalia; Primates; Hominidae. The record is from RNAcentral.
AGUCCCGGCAGAGGGCUCCGCGAAGACAGUGCCGUCGUUGGGCGCGCGCGCGGGCGGGAGCUGUCGGGGCGGGGCGGCACCGCCGAGCUCCGAGCUGUGAGGACCGCCCCGGGCCUUGGGCGGGGCGGGGGCCAGGGAAGGGCGUGCGCAGGAUUGGGGAGCACGUUUUGCGUCUUGCUGUGCGUGAGGAAGCGGGGAUCCAGGUCAAGGCUAUGGAAAGGUCAGGGAAGGGUGUCAGUGCGCCCGUCCUGCAGGGAGUCCAGAUCCGAGAGGUUAGGGCGGGACCUGGGGCGAGCUGGGCGGUGGGGGAACAGUGGGGUCAUCAGGAGGUGGAGGCCCAGCGGGAGUGUGGCGGGGGAGGCGGGGAAUCAGGAGGGCCAGGUGUUUGGAGGCGCUGGGGUGGGAAGGGUCCAGGCGAGGUUGCGGGUGGGUGCCAGCCCCGUCUCACAUUUGGAUGAAGUAGGAAAAGGCAGCUUUUAGGGUACACCCUGACAUGUUCUGUCAGGGCCCUUAAAGGGCCCACGGGCCGGAGGAGAGGGGAAAAGGAUGAGGGCUCAGCCUGGCAAAGGACAGAAAGUGGUGGGUGUAGGAGGUGGACCUUGGUCUGGUGGCCUAGCCUGCCCUGUGCUCCCUGCAAUGCCGGGUGACUUGGGUCACUGGGCGGCCAGGCCAGAGGUGGGCCUCUAGGUGCCCCCCAUUCUGGAUGCUGAGGGUCCCUGUGAGGGUCUGGCGGCAGAGGCCUGCGCUUAUGGGUCAGCAGCUAGGACUGAUGGGUUGAAUAAGAAGGGCCCAAGUUAGGCCAGUUGUUCUCACAGACCCAGAGGUCCCUAGAGUUUAUGAUGCCCAGAGUCUAGGAGAGGGAAAUGCACACACAUGCCCUCGAGGACACCAGCAUCCUGACAUCCAAGUUACUGUACUGCCCUGGUUAGCAAGAAAGAACAUCUGUUCCCUUCUCUAUGCAAUUGUUACAGUAACUGUUGUUACAUUUCUUAAGAUACAUAGCUAUAUAUGUAGUCACUCUGCAAACACACACACUCUGAUAGACACACGAUUGCACUCAUGGACACAAAAACGGAAAAUAAACAUGCGGACAGCUACUCCCAGUCCCCAGACCUGACCCUCAUGUGACACCUUCACCAGACAUGGUACUUUCUGGGACCUGUAAUGUGUGUUGUGAUGCCCAGCACAUUUGUUGGAUGGUACAAAGGGAAUUAUGAUACUUAAUCAAAAAGCCAUACAAGCCAGAUAACAUUAAGGCUUAACGGUAACAAUAGGUGAUUCAGUUAGGAAAUUAAUGUUAGAGAUCGGUUUUCCUUGUGGAAAUCAGUGGUAUUCAAAUGCCUGAAUUGGCUACCCGGUUUUAGAGCUGCUCUCCAUGUAUGAGCAGGACAUAGGAUUCACUCUCUGGAAUGCUUCUGUAGGCAGGACUUUGAAAUGACCCUGUCCUCAGCCUGGAGGAUGCGGUAUUCUGAUUGUCUGGUGCUGUGUCAACUGGGCCUGCCUCUGGGAUAGUGUUGUGGCUGCCCCACGAGAACCCUAUAUGCCAGGUGAGCUUGAAGCACCUCAGAGACAGAGCACUGAAGCUCCAUGACACAGGGCUAUUCAGCUAUCAUUGCCCCUGUUUGCCAGCACCUCUGUCUAAAUAACUUGUGUGGGACAGAAUUAGGUCCGAGUCUGGUAUUCUGUUCAUCUAGCCUGGUAGCCAGGUAGUGAGAGAAGAAACCUGUGGCCCUUGUCUAAAUAUGAGGUGGUCAGUAUUUAACAACAAAUCAACAAUAGGGUAUGACCAGACUGACUUGGGUCUGUUUGCAACACCUGAACCUUAUGCACAUGCUCAUAAAUGCCCUCUCCAAAAUACACACACACACCCCCAAGAAAGGUGAGAUACAAAUACACACUCCUCCCACACAGAAACAUGCAUGCUCAUUCACUCUGGCAGAAACCCUGAUCACACUUACGCUCCUGCACUCAGAUCUAGGGAGUAGAAAAUGGGCCAAGCCAACUCCAAAGACAGCUCAUAGUUUCAUUUUCAUCUCCUCACCCCCUUCCCAGGGGAGCGCUGAGCAGGGAGUAGCCCACUGCCACCCUUCCAGAAGCCCAGCUACCCAGAAGCUGGAGAACAAGUAGACAAGGGGCUGAGGCUGGCCAGGGGAAUGCCCUCCAGGGCAUGGGCUGAGAAGGCCUUGGCACCAGGGUGCUCUGCUGUUGGCAUUUUCCUGAGUCCGUCAGGAGCAUAUUUGUGCUCUGUGUGUUGUUUAGAGCUGGCUGCAUCUUUAAAAUUGUAAGUGCCAACUUGUGUUUUGUGUUUCAAAGUUCCAGAAGCAAAAACAAAAAAAGUUCGGGUACAGCGGCUCACACCUGUAAUCCCAGCUCUUAGGGAGAUGGAAACUGGAGGAUCACUUGAGGCCAGGAGUUCAAGACCAGCCUGGGCAACAUAGCAAGACCCAGUCUCUUAAAAGAAAAUUAAAAAGAAAGAGUAAAUAAAGUUCCAGAAGCUUUGCUCUCCUUAUCCAAGCAGCGUUUGUACUUUGGCACUGGAAAGUGCGGGAGUCAGGGGUUUGUGAGAGCACGUGUUGGUUGUCGCAUUGGUCAGGAUGCACCCAUCACUCUGUAUCCUCCGGCUAAGGAGUGCUGGAGAGCCGUGAUGCCCACUGGCUGUUGUCCCGGGCUUGUCACUCAAAGACGGGACAGAUGUCUCCUUCCAGUUCUGGCCCAGACUGUCCUCUGAGCUGGGAGCACAGGGCUCCUCCCUGAGUAGAUGACCUGUCAGGUCAGCUGGAUCCAGAGGUCCCACAACCUCUCAAGGCAGAGCUGGCAGCUGUCCAGAAGGCAGCAGCCAUGAUAACAAACGUGGUUGGCCCAGGCCCAGACCUGCCCCCUGGCAACAGAGAACAGCAGGACUGGCUUUGACAUUGUUUUAGGGAGCCAGGCACCCUUCCCAGUCAGGGCAGAAGCCCCCUGGAGAGCUGGGCUCCUGACCUCACCGGCCUCCACCUCCUGAAGGCUCUGGCCAAAUCCACAUGUGACCUCAGGAAGGGAACACCCUCAGGAGUCCAAAGCCCCUGUUCCCCUGCUCGGUUGGCCACAGUCACUCUCCUGCCUCGGGGUUGUGUCUGUAGCAGGCUCUCUUGGGCAGCAGGGGUCAGGAGCACGGAGGGCAGACCCAAGACGGACCAGGCAUCUCUGGGGAGGCGACAUCCCCUCCCACCGGCAGCCCAGAGACAGGAGCUCCCCAGCAGUGCCCCUCAAGGCCAGAUUCGCAAGUAGGUGCCCGUGGAGCAAACAGAGAAAAGCGGGAACACGCGCUCCUGGAAGUUGACGCGGAAGGUGUAGAGGUGGCGCAUGUCCUCCACAGCGUAGAAGGACACGGCUCCCACCUCCAGGUCCAGGGCCACCCGCACGCGCGACAGGUGCCCGCAGCUGAGGGGCGACCGCUCGGGGCUGGUCACGGCCCAGUACUGGCCGCCGUUGAGCUGCAGGGCCCAGACGCCCUCCUCGGGAGUGAAGGGCGUCAGGCCCUUUCGGCGCACGCUCUCGCGGGCCACGCCAAAGGCCCAGCCGUCCUUAGAGCCCACCUCCACCUCCCAGUGAUGCCGGCCCGAGGAGAAGCCGCAGGACGCCAGGACGCGGGUGUUGGUGUCGAAGCGGCAGGGGUGGUUGGGCAGGUCCUGGGCCCGCUCGCCGAGGCGCACGCCCUUAAGAUCCAGAGAGAGGAUGAGGCGCGGGUUGGCCGUGUCGGGAUCCAAGGUGAGCUCCACUGCAGACAGAGACAGGGAGAAAUGUCCCCACGCAGCCAGGCCCCUGGCACAGUCUUUGCAGGGCCGCGCCCGACCUUGCUUUGCAACCUGCCUGCCUUUCCCUCUAGAAUCCCCCCAGCACCCAGCGCCAAGGCCCAACCAACCCCCACGCUCUGCCUCCCAGAGAUUUUGCUUCCCCCCGCCCCGACCACUCAACAAGUACUUACUGAAAUCAAACAAAUGCAAUGUGUGGGCCUGGUUUGAACCCCAAUUCAACAGAUGGGGAUAUUUGAAUGCUAGACAUUGGAAAGAAUCAUUAAUCUGUCCAGGUGUGAGGACUGCUUUGUGGUUAUGUUUUACAAAGUCUGUUUCUUUAGAGAUAACACACUGAGGUAUUUAUGGCAAUGAUAUGUUGUCUCUGAUGCUUUAAAAUAAUACAGUAGGCCAGGCGCAGUGGCUCACGCCAGUAAUUCCAGCACUUUGGGAGGCCAAGGUGUGUGGAUCACGAGGUCGGGAAAUCAAGAACAUCCUGGCUAACAUGGUGAAACCCCGUCUCUACUAAAAAUAAAAAAAUAAAAUAAAUUAGCCGGGCGUGGUGGCGGGCGCCUGUAGUCCCAGCUACUCGGGAGGCUGAGGCAGGAGAAUGGCAUGAACCCGGGAGGUGGAGAUUGCAGUGAGCUGAGAUCACGCCACUGCACUCCAGCCUGGGCGACAGAGCAAGACUCUGUCUCAAAAAUAAAAAUAAUAAUAACAAUAAUACAGUGGAGGCCGGGUGAGAUGGUGCACAGCUGCGAUACCAGCACUUUGGGAGGCCAAGGCCAAUGGGUCACAUGAGGUCAGAAGUUUGGGACCAGCUUGGGCAACAUGGCGGAAAACUUGUUUUGUAUUUUCUCUACUAAAAAUACAAAAAUUAGCCCGGCAUGGUGUCCUGUGCCUGUAAUUCCAGCUGUUUGGGAGGCUGAGGCAUGAGAAUCGCUUGAACCCAGGAGGCAGAGGUUGCAGUGAGCAGAGAUCAGGCCACUGUACUCCAUGAUCUCACUCCAGAGUAAGACCCUGUCUCAGAAAACAAAAUAAUCCCACAGGAAGUGGAUAGCAGUGUCUAUGAAAACUGUGGCCACUAAUUGAUCACUGCGGACGGUGAGAGAUGGGUAUGUAACAUUCUUUACACUCUUCUCUCUACUUUUGAGUAUGUUUGAAAUUUUUCAUAAUAAAAAGUUAAGGCCAGGUGUAGAGGCUCAUGCUUGUAAUCCUAGCACUUUGGGAAGCAGAGGUGGGAAGACAGCUUGAGCCCAGGUGUUGGAGACCAGCCUGGGCAAUAUAGCGAGACAUCCGUCUCCACAAAACAUAGAAAAUUUAGCCAGGCAUGGUAGUGUGCUCCUGUAGUCCCAGCUACUCGAGGACGCCCAGGAGAGAGGAUCGCUUGAGCUUGCGGGGUGGAGGCUGCAGUUCCACUGCACUCCACCCUGGGCAACAAAGCGAUACCUUGUCUCCAAAAAAAAAAAAAAAAGUUAAAAUAUGUACACUUACUGUGAGCACUACUACGAUUGAGGCCCUGGGGGUACCACAGAGUAUCAGAGUAGUCCUGCCUGCCUGCAGCUUCCUUCCCACAGGGAGAGGAUUGAGGAUAGAUUAUAAACAGAAGAUGAGAGGGACCAGAAGAGCAGGCUGUAACUUCAACCAGAGUGGCCAGGGAAGACCCUCACUGAAAAGGGGCAUCGAGCAGACAGAUAUAAAGAAGGCAAAGAAGCAGGCCACAGGACUGGCUGGGGAAAGCAUGCUCCAGGUAGGGGCCUGGGGUGGGGGAGCCUGGCAGUGCAAAGGCCCCGGGAUGGGUGUGUGCUUGGUACACUGAAGGAACAGCAGGGAGGAUGUGUAGCUGCGUGGAGUAGAAGGGGUGUGCAGUGAGGCUAGAGCCCGUGGGCCCUUGAGACCUCCAUGGGGACUCUGACCUUUACCAAGUCAGAGGGGCUGUGGCAGGGCUCUGAGCAGAGGAGGGCCUGGUCUCACUCAGGUGUUUUAGGUGGCACCCAGACACACUCUGACUUAGCUCAGACAUCAGCAUCAGGAAUAUGUGCCCUCCCCUCCCCUCCUCUGGGUGUUGGAUGCCACACAUUCCAGAGCUUUGCAAGAGUAAAAACGAUAUUCCUUCCAGUCUUUAGCUUCCCCUUGCUUUCCUGGUCCCCUGUAUACACCCCAUUCCCAGGAGAGGUUUCCAUCCAUCUUGGAGUGGGGACCGGGUAGAGGCUCACCCAGGUGGCCGAGAAGCCUUUCCCAGUCUGAGUAUCUCGAGGUACAGGGCAUUCCUGCUCCUAACCAACCUGCAGCAUUUGGGCCAACAUCUGAGGGUGUCAGAGCUCCCAGGAUGGGGAGGGGGUGGUGUGGGGGAGGGGACAGAGGAACAGGGUUGCUGAGGUGGGUGGGCUGAAGGAACCGACCAUAUGCAAAACCCUGAGAUGGUCACGAGCAGGGAGUAGGAUCUCUGUGUGGCAGACAGUCCAUACUCGCCAUCACAGCACCAUCCCUACCUUUCUCCUCUUUCUCCAGCUCUCCCCGAAGGUCCUCUGAGGAGGAGAAACAAAGCAAGGCGUGCAUGAGCGACACGGGAGAUUAUAUGGCAAGGUCACCAGCUCUUUAUAUCCCAACUGACUCAUUCAUUCCCCAGAGACUCCUAAGGCCAAGAGUGAACGUGCAGGCACAGGGCCAAGCAUGGGGAGCGGGGGGCAGGGGGCCCAUACCCAAGCAUUCUAGCUCUACCCAAGUGGCUCUGAGCUGAGCUCCCCUGCACAGCUCUCUUCCUAACCCCAGUCCCCCAGCAGUACCCCUCUACCCCAUCUGUGCCCAUGAGAAGCGGCAUGCCCUGCGGGGGCCUGACUAGAUUUGCCACCACAGCCCCUACACCAAUCUGGCCAUGGCACAGCCAGCUCCUAUUUUCACACACAGCUUCUGGAAAGCACACCCAGGGACCCCUGAGCUACCAGGAACCCUCCACCACCACCGCACUAUGUGGCCCAGCUUGGCGCCCAGGCCCCUACCUUUGAACUUCUUCAGCAUCCCUUUUAAGACAAAGGUCUUGAGAGAAACAUUCCAGACUUUAUUCUUCAUCUCAGAAGAGACUGUGGUUGGCUUGGGGCCAGGCACAUUGCUACACCUGCAGGACAAGGGCUCUGAGAAGGGCCUGUGUGCACCAUUUUGCUCCCACAGGCUGUGACAAUUAGGAUGGCGAGGUCCUCUUGGCAGAAAGAGGUAGAAAAGGGAGAGCCAGACCUCAUGCAGAAAAACCCAUGGCCAGGCAGGUGGGCGUUUGUCUCGGAAGGUCCCCAGGCAAGCAAGUCGGGGGAUCAGGAGGUGAGAGGUCAGGGGACAGGGAAUAAAGACAAGGCUCAGUGAAAAGGGAAGAAGCAACUUAGAGAGGCCCCAGGAGCUGUGAGGUCACUCACCUGCUCAGCGUGCUUUUGAAUUCCUGGAAGGAAAGAUAGAGGAAACCAAAUCAGCAUCAGGUAACCUCCAUUCACCUCUGAGAAACAAAGCUUGCCCCUUGCUGUGCCUCCCAGAUGUAAGCAUAAGCAAGUGUGCCACGCCUCACUGCCUGCGUGGGCCUCAGGGGCAGCAGCUUCCAGUGGCUGCUGGCUGCAGGGUGUCUCACCCACGCAGUGGACCUCUCACCCUUUGCCACAACUCUUCACGUGCUUUCUUUCUAUCUUUGCUGCUUUCUUAGUUACAGAAUCAUCACUGGAGCUAUCCCAUGGGACCCAGUGCUGCGUGUGUCCUGGAAACCACCUGAGGGAGGUCACAGCCCUUAUGCACCUACUGCUCACUCAGCCCCAUAAUGACUGUUCUUAACCCAUCUAUGGAUUGUGAAGUUUAUCUAGUUGUUUAUAACUUUUUUUUUAGCGAAAUAGAAUAGAAAACAUCAAAGUGCAUACGUGUAGCAAAGGUGAGUAUUAUUUUCUGAGACUUUUGUCUCAAGCUUGUGAUUCUGAAAUACGAUAUAUAUUAUUGUGGCUCAUAGUCAAGAAAGUUUUCACAUCUCUCUAGACCUCCAACCCCAGGAAAAUCAGGGCACUUCUCUCCAGUCCCCUUCAGCUCCAGAUCAUGUGAUUCUCCUAGACCCCCCAGGACUGACACUGUUCUCUAGCUGCUGGUCCUGAUGCCUUAGGAUAAAUGACUCGAGCCCCUGGCUGAGCCAGACUUACCUGGAGAAAGUCAAGGUCAGGCUUUUGAGCUGUCUCCUGGAUCUGGCUGCUGAGCUUGGACAGCUGGGUGAUCUCAACCCCGAGCUGGGCCAGGUUCUCAUUCUGCUUCUGUGCCACCUCCCGGGACAGUUCCUCCAGGCGGCCUAGCAGCCGACCCUCCUGCUCCACCAGGAAAGCCCUCAGUGCCUGGAACUCUGCCCCCACCUUCUCCUGCUCCGCUGCCAUCUGUUUCUGUCCCAGGAGGAGAAGUUGGAGAGGGACUUGAACAUGGAGACAUAACAUUUGGCCAGUGGCCUGAGUCAUCCCACAGGGCAAGGCUUCGUCCCUGUCACUGCUGGAGGAUCGGAGACACACCCACCUACGCACGCAGUGCGUGCUCUAUUGUCAGUGUCCCAGCUCUGAACAAGCUGUAGUCUGGACACAUGCUCUUUUCUCCCCUGCCACAGAUGCACCCACACAUGUCUGUGGACCUGUGCUCCAUCACCUAAACCAAGGCAGCUUCAUACUCCCCCCAGAACUACGCCAAGCUGCAGCUUCCUCACUUGAAAAGCAGAAGGGAUAAAUUAGUGCCUCCUGGGGCAACCAUAGGAUUAAACUGAGAUUGCUUUUUCUUCCUCAAGCACAUUUAUUUCAUCACCCUCAAACUUUUACACUUCACUUUCUUUUUAAAGGCCAUCUUUCCUGUUUAGCAGUUAUAAUGCUAACACAUGCUCAAAAUACAAAACUUGGGAGAUGUAGGAAAGUAGAAAGAAGGAAGAAAAGUCCGAUGCCAGUGACCAGAGGUAGCAGCACACCCCCAAGGAACGAAGUGAGAAUAUGCGGCAUGCAAGUGUCAUAUUCUGUUCUUUCCAUUAACAGCAUACACCGGAUUUUUUACUCGAGUUUUCAGAUGCAGACUCAUGCCCUGAUCUCUUGAUUUUUUAUGUGAACACACGUUUGGCACUCAAUAUGUCCCACCAGGAAGUUCCUCUUCCUUAAAACUCCUGGGCGGAGGAAGGGAGUCCUGUGAAGUUGGGAGACCUGGGUUCAAGGUGUCCUACAAUGCCCCCACCUUUCCUUCAGCUUCCAGGCAGGCUGCAGUAGCCUGGAGCGCCUUAUGGAUAUUAACUCCCUCAACCCUGACGGCAGCCCAGUGGGGAGGGUGCACUUCCCUUCAAGUCUUACAGGUGAGGAGACAAAAGACAGACACAUCACCAGGAAGUGUUAAGCCAGGCUUCUCGGCCAGUUGCCUCACAAGGAGGUAGCACAAGUGAAACAGUAUUUGCCAAAAUACUCUAAGCCAGGGUUUCCCAACCUUAACACAGUUGACAUUUUGGGCCAGAUACUUCUUGGUUGUAGGGGGCUGCCCUGUGCCUUGUAGGACAUUUAGCCGCCCCUCUGGCCUCUACCACGAAAUGCCAAUAGCAUCCCUAUCCCAUUGUUGACAACCAAAAAUAUAGUAUCUCCAGACUUUGCCAGAUGUCCCCUGGGGUAGGAGCAUUUUCAAAUAAGAGCAUUCCUUCUCCCUUUUGUGUUGCAGCAAUAGUUGGGCUCUACCUCUGAUGUUUCAUUAAGCAGGGUAUUGUAAAUGAGACAAGUGUCAUAAAUCCAGAAGUAUUUUAUUGCUGCAAAGAACAGGUAGAGCUCACACCUGUCAUCUCAGCACUUUGGGAGGCUGAGGGGGGCAAAGUCAGGGGAGAAGGUUGCUUGAGCCCACGAGUUCCAGACCAGCCUGGGCAACACAGGAGACUACCCCCAACCCCAGCUCUACAAAAAAUAAAUUAAAAAUUAGCCGGGUGUAGUAGUGCACACCUGUAGUCCCAGCUACUCAGGAGGCUGAAGUGGGGGGAUCGCUUGAACGACUCCAGCCUUUGUGACAAAGUGAGACUCUGUCUAAAAGCAAAGCAAAACAAAACAACAACAAAAACGAAUGUGGGGGUGGAUGGAUGGAUGUUGGGAGAGGACAGAGGUGGAAGGUGUUAAGCAAGGCCUGGGGACUCCGGUCAGAGACUGUGAAGCUGCCGCCGGUGCCAGGGAAGGCCCUCUGGUUCCUGGAUGUCAACCAGUGGGGGAAGAGCUGCAUUGGGAGUCAUUUCUCCAGUGGAGGAGGGAUGAAGGUCUAGAGGGUGAGCUCUUCCUCAUGGAGGAAAGUGAGUGAUGAGGUAGGAAGGUCUGGGAUGCACACUGGGUGCAGGCAUAACAGAUAUAGUUGAGGGUCUGGAAAGGACCCUAGGGUGUCUGAACUCCAGGCUCCUCCUCCACCCCUCCUGACAUUGAGGAUGGGAGGGUCCUCUAGUUCACCUUCCUUCAAUUCCCUGCCUUGACAGGUCCUAGUAGAUCCUUUCAUUCUUUUUUUUUUUUUUUUUUGAGAUGGAGUUUCACUCUCGUUGCCCAGGCUGGAGUGCAGUGGCAUGAUCUUGGCUGACCGCAACCUCUACCUCCCGGGUUCAAGUGAUUCUCCUGCCUCAGCCUCCCGAGUAGCUGGGAUUACAGGCAUGUGCCACCACGGCAGGCUAAUUUUGUAUUUUAAGUAGAGAUGGGGUUGCUCCAUGUUGGUCAGGCUGGUCUGGAAUUCCCAACCUCAGGUGAUCCGCCCACCUCGACCUCCCAAAGUGCUGGGAUUACGGGCGUAAGCCACCGCACCCAGCCAAUCCUUUUAUUCUUUCAACACCUAUUUACUGAGCUAGGAACUGAAUUUGCAAGGUAGAAAAUGACCGAUGGUGAUUCAUGUUUGCUUAUCUUUUUUUUUUUUUUUAAGGUGGAGUCUCGCUCUGUCUCCCAGGCUGGAGUGCAGUGGCGCGAUCUCGGCUCACUGCAAGCUCUGCCUCCCGGGUUCACACCAUUCUCCUGCCUCAGCCUCCGGAGUAGCUGGGACUACAGGCGCCCGCCACCACGCCCGGCUAUUUUGUAUUUUUAGUAGAGACAGGGGUUUCACCGUGUUUGCCAGGACGGUCUUGAUCUCCUGACCUCGUGAUCCGCCCACCUCGGCCUCCCAAAGUGCUGGGAUUACAGGCGUGAGCCACCCUGCCAGGCCUCAUGUUUGCUUAUCUUAACCAAAAUGAGCCCUCGUUUCACUUUCCUGUUCUACCCUAAGGAAGAUAAAAUAUCAUUCCAACUUGGGGUAGAGGCAGGUGCCAGUACCCAAGACCCUGGGCUGUGCAGCAGGGGCUACUGUAAACCCAAGACCCUAAACUUCCUCCCUCUGCCAGAGCCAGGGAGCAGCUCUGACGCCCUCUAGCCCCUUCUCCGUUAGCCUCGAUUUCAAAUAAAAACACUGUGAACAUGAAAUUUUUUUCACUACUGUUUUGUUGACAAAACAUGCCAUGAGGCUCUUUAUUGUAUUAAUAUUCCCACUUAUUGAAUAUCCAUGUUUCUCUGCAGAAAUAGUAAUGUGUUCCAUUACAAGAUGCUUCCGCAGGCCCUAACUGGUAUGUUACGUAAUAUCAGAGUGACUGAGCGUCCUGAUUCGCUGGGACAGCUCCAGUUUAAGCCAGUUGUUUUGCAAUAAUUAUUUUAGCACUGCUUUUCACUUUAAAAAGCUCUGGUUUGUACAACAAUUAUGUGGACACCCUAUAUAAUAUGGACUCUAUUAUCUUUCUGAAAUCGAUUCUGCGGUUCCAUAGCACACACUCCAACACCACACACACCGAGCCCUGGUGCUGAGUUCUCAGGCCUCUGUAAUGUCCCACGGGGGGCCUGCGGGUGCCUGGCUCACCAGCAGCUCCUUGCUCUCCUUCUUUUCCGUGGACCGGAACACCUCACAGUCCUCCAGUUCCUUCUUCAAGACCCUCAGCCUGGACUCCAAGAGCUCCUGUAGAUGAAGGGAAACAAUGUAAGGUGGGGGUGAGGGGCUUCUGGAAACCCCCACCUCUGCCUUCCUGGAGCCAGCCAGGAGAAAGGGAAGGCCCUGCUCACUGAGGGGGAGGCCGGGUAGAAGUCAUCUCUACAGGCUACAGGUUACACUGCGAGGUGACUCUGAAGGUCUCGGGAUCUUGCUUCCCCAAAAGCAUCUGCUGGACCAGCCAGACUGAAACACAAGCUCCGGCAGCCCUACCCCUAGUCGUCUCCUCUACUCUCCGCCCCCCCACCAGGAAGCCCCGUGGCUGGGAGAGUUGGAGCAGGAUGGGCCAGCAAGGAGAGACUGGGGACUGCCGCCCGAGCCUCCCCGCCCCGCCCUCACCCCUGCACACACCCUCGCUGAGGCUCAGCGAGAAAAUAGCAAAGAAAGGGCCCCCAGAAUCGACAGCGUUGGCACAGUCAGACGGCUCUAGGUGCGCGGCUUAACCCGGGAGCCCCCUCCCUGGACAUCUUGGCGAGGUCCUCUCACUCAGUUCCACGAGGUGGGGACUUUGAGCAGAGCCCGCUUCGGGGAAAGAGAUAAGAGUGGGGGCAGCGGCUGCGUGGCUGUGCCGGAGACUUCCCGCGGGCAGAGAGCUGCGGAGACGCAGACCAGGCUAGAGGCUCCGAACAGACAGGAAGAACAUCGCCAAGUCCGUGGGGGACGUCGCGCAGGCGGCCCAGUAUCUGGCCCAGAGGGAAACGCAGUGGGGGUGGGGUGGGGGUAUUGGUGAUGUUGGGGGUGACAGAGAACCGCGCUCAGCCCGGGAACCAGCGCUGGGCUUCCUGGAAUGGAGAAAGAAGGGAGGGGCUCACCCGGGCCUCCUGAUCGACAGGCUGUUCUCUGCACCCCGUGCGCGGGAGCGCGGGACCAAGUCAGGGGGUCCCGGGGACCCACGGGGUGGGUGGGGGCUGCGCUCACCUUGGCCUCCUGCACCGCCUCGUCCAGCGGCAGCACGGCGUGCUCGCGGUGCUCGCGGGCGCGGUCGCACACCACGCAGAUGGCGCGUCCGUCGUCCUGGCAGUAGAGCUUGAAGGGUUCGCCAUGCUGCCCGCAGCGGGCAGCCGCUGCCCGGGCCGCGGCCGCCUGAGACCCGUGCUCUCCCGGGGCAGCCGCGGGCAGGCUGAAGCGCCGCAGGAGCGUGGCCACUGCCGCCAGCUGCCGGUUGGGCCGCAGCUGACUGGGGCGCGCGGGCUCGCGGCACUGCGGACAGGGCAGUGGGAAGGGGGGCGCGCGGGUGGCGGCCCCAACAGACCCCGCGCCCGGGCGCUCCCAGCAGCGCCCUAUGCAGGCGCGGCAGAAGCUGUGGCCGCACUCGACGGACACCGGCUCACGAAAGAGCUCUAGGCAGAUGGAGCACGUCGCCUCGCCCUGCAGCUCUGCCGCCAGCGCUAGAGCCUCGGCGCCGGUUCCGGGGCCGGUCCGCGGUCCCACAGCCGCCAUGCGCGCUCUCCGCGCACCCAGAUCUGGUCGCGCCUGGGCGGCCACUGGACCUCACAGGACGCGGAGCUGGGCGCCGAGGGCCCACUGGGAGAGGAAGGGCGGGGCUGCCACUGGGCAGGCAGAGACUCGAGCCCGGGGCGCGCCCGGCUGGGAGCCGGGAGGGGAGGCGCACGUUGACUACGGGCCAUUCAAGUGCGGGACAGCGCCCUGCGCCCCGGAUCUGCGCUCCACCAGCCCCCGCCCUGGCCAGCGGCCUCUCCCCCUCGCCCCCGUCCCUCAGACUCUCCAGGCCGCCCCAGCCUGACCCAGUCAGCCGCGGGAAACGGGCCGCGACAGGUGGGCGCACAAAUGCUGCCAGCGCCACUCCCGGUUUCCGACCGAGGCCGACCCAGCAUCGCCGGGGCAAGGGCCUGGCGCUCGGGCCACGGUGUCAGGUUCCGCCAGCGCAGGUUCGCCCCGGCCCUGUGCUGAGUUAAAUUUAGAGACUGGAACCUGGUCCUGUCCCCUCACGCGCAAGCGUGGCCUUGUAUCCAUUCCAUUACCUUUUCUGCGACUGUCCUCCGGCUUCUUUACUCUUUACUUAGUAUUUGAACAGAUAACACAUUUAUAAUUUCCCAUUGUAUUCAGUAUUAUUCCCCCCCCACCGCACACACACACACACACACACACACACACACAAACCUCAGCGCUCUCUUGUCCCCCAGCUGUCUCCACAGCCCCGCAGCAGAGCUGCCUGUGUUAUCCGCUUCCACACCCUCUCUCCUCGCUCACUCUGGAGGCCACUUGGAUCAAGCUUUCGCCCGCACCCUCCUCAGAAACCGCCCUUGCCAAUGUCACCGGGAACUUCAGCAAUUCUCACCCAAAGGCGAAGACCUCGCCUCACCUCAUCUGCCCCCGGAUGCUCCCUCCUUCCCGACUUCCCUUCUCAGGGCCUUCCAGGACCCAGUGUCCCCGAUCUUCUUGCUGUUCCUGAACCCCGUGGCCUCUGCGCUGGCUGUUCCCCUUGCGUGGACCUCUUUUCUCCCACCACCUGCAUGCUCCCUCCCACCUCAUUCAGGUCUUGUUUCAAACGUCUCUGCCCACGAAGCCCGCCCCGAACGCGCACACUGUGUAAAGUCGUCUCUUAGCGCGCUCCCUUCUCAGGGCCGGCUCUGUGCCCGCACUCUAUCUCCUCUGGAAUGUCAGCUUUCAGAUGGACUGUACUAGGUUUGUUCACGGCUGAAUCCUGUUUUUAGAGCAGUUCUUGGCAAGCUCAGUAAGGUUUUCUUGGAUUAAACUUGGUUCGAAAUU